Molecule: ribosomal RNA, 405 nt
Filed under: uncultured Mycoplasma sp.
Lineage: Bacteria; Bacillati; Mycoplasmatota; Mollicutes; Mycoplasmatales; Mycoplasmataceae
Description: bacterial SSU rRNA
Rfam family: Bacterial small subunit ribosomal RNA
Source: RNAcentral
UUUUCCUACGGGAGGCAGCAGUAGGGAAUUUUCCCCAAUGAGGGAAAGGCUUGAUGGAGCGACACAGCGUGCACGAUGAAGGUCUUAUGGUUGUAAAGUGCUGUUGCAAGGGAAGAAAAAUAGUUGAGGAAAUGCUUCUACAUUGACGGUACCUUGUUAGAAAGCGAUGGCUAACUAUGUGCCAGCAGCCGCGGUAAUACAUAGGUCGCAAGCGUUAUCCGGAAUUAUUGGGCGUAAAGCGUUCGUAGGCUGUUUAUUAAGUCUGGAGUCAAAUCCCAGGGCUCAACCCUGGCUCGCUUUGGAUACUGGUAAACUAGAGUUGGAUGAGGUAAGCGGAAUUCCAUGUGAAGCGGUGAAAUGCGUUAUAUAUGGAAGAACACCAAAGGCGAAGGCAGCUUACUGGGU